AUUGGUUACGGUGUGGGUGUUGGUGGCUGGGCGACCGGUCUUAAUCUAGGCAAAAAGUCCGUGGGAGUUGUGUACACAGCUCAUCGCAACAUCGGGAUCACUCUCUUCACCCUCGGUACAUUGCAGCUUUUCGCAUUGUUUCUGAGGCCAAACAAGGAUCACAAAUAUCGGUUCUACUGGAAUAUAUAUCAUCAUCUGAUGGGAUACACUGUCAUUGU
Molecule: unclassified non-coding RNA, 218 nt
Filed under: Hevea brasiliensis (rubber tree)
Lineage: Eukaryota; Viridiplantae; Streptophyta; Magnoliopsida; Malpighiales; Euphorbiaceae
Source: RNAcentral